Molecule: long non-coding RNA, 379 nt
Filed under: Rattus norvegicus (Norway rat)
Lineage: Eukaryota; Metazoa; Chordata; Mammalia; Rodentia; Muridae
Description: long non-coding RNA NONRATT002060
Source: RNAcentral
CCACAGAGUGGUGGAUGCUGAAGAGCUGAGGUCUGCACACCAGAGGCUUUCUUCAGAUGUGGAAAACGGUCAUAUGAGGCCGAUGACCAGAACCAGAGCAGUGUCCCUAACCUGGAGAUGAGGCUGACACUCCUAGCUCGGGUUUUCUGCACUGAGGAAGUCAGCGCAGUCAGGGCAUUGCAAUUACAUCGGAAUCCACCAAAAACACCAUUGCUCUUGAUACUCAGCUGUCCCUGGCUGCCUCUGUUUGGUCAGCUGCAUCCGCUGUGGGCACAAGAGGCUUUCCAAAGCCCUUGGAGGGGGCCAACGCGAAGCCUUGAGUCAUCAGAUCAGCCGGAGACUAAUUCCUUGUGUUUAAUAAAAGGAACUUUUAAAUCAA